This 690-nucleotide long non-coding RNA is filed under the name Betta splendens (Siamese fighting fish). Its description in RNAcentral is "lncRNA (ENSBSLG00000005305.1)". Lineage: Eukaryota; Metazoa; Chordata; Actinopteri; Anabantiformes; Osphronemidae. The record is from RNAcentral.
GUUGUGGAGCUCACCAUGUUAUGAUUGCCAUAGUCACAAUCUUGUGCUCCUGUUUCAGCCUCAGUGACUCCUGUGACAUCCGACAGACUCUGAGCAGCCAAAGCAGCCUGUGAGCACAGUGGCUGUAUUAAAAAAGCUCCACUGUCUGAUACUGUUUGUCACAUGAUAGAAAACUGUAGAGAAGCAAACUUUUCAACAUGAGUCAGUGACUUUAAAGCCACAACAUGAAACUCAAAAUUGAGUCCAACACCAGACUCCUUUUAAACAAAGGCACAACGUCAUUGUGUGAGAUCCUAGACUAAGUUUCACUUUAAUACAAGUGACAGCAGGUGUUUAGCUCUGAAUCUGUGGCUUUUUCAGAAGAUGAGUCUUAUUGUGGAGGAGAAGGAUGAAGCAGAUUCUCCAGGAUCAAGAUGUGCAUCUAUGAAGAACGACUGGUCCAGAUUUGAGCCUCUGUCAUUCAGUUCUGAACCUGGAGCCUCAAAUACAAAAGGUCAGAACCACAAACAAAGAGCAGAACCUCCAGGACCCAGCUGUCUGUCUAUGAAGAGUGACUGGUCCAAAGAAGAGCCUUGGGAGUUCAAUAAUGGAUCUGGAGCCUCAGACUUAAAGUAAGAGCUAGGUUUUACUAGCUCUUACUUUGGGAGAGGGGGGGUCCUUUGUUGCAGUCGAAGGAAGGGCAGAGUGGAC